This 393-nucleotide ribosomal RNA is filed under the name Physocyclus globosus. RNAcentral describes it as "partial 16S ribosomal RNA". It matches the Rfam family "Bacterial large subunit ribosomal RNA", at positions 1861 to 2597 of the family's 2925-position model. The record is from RNAcentral. Lineage: Eukaryota; Metazoa; Arthropoda; Arachnida; Araneae; Pholcidae.
GCUCAAUGAUAUUAAAUAGCCGCAACUUAGUGCUAAGGUAGCAUAAUCAUUAGUUCCCUAAUUAGGAAAUAGUAUGAAAGGCCAAACGAGGAGUAUACUGUCUCAUAAAGAUUAAAUAAAAUUAAUUUAACAGUAAUAAAGCUGUUAUAAAUAAACAAGACGACAAGACCCUGAAUUCGAACUAAAAUGUCAGCUGGGGAGGCUAGAAAAUAAAACCUUAAUUAAACACAAAUAAACUCACUAAUAAAAAUAUAUCAAGUUACCGCAGGGAUAACAGCGCUACCUCUUUCUAAAGCCCAAAUAAAAAAAGAGAUCUACGACCUCGAUGUUGAAUUAAUUACCCUUCUUAGCGUAAAAACUAAAAAAGGAGGUCUGUUCGACCAAUAAACAAUU